UGCAUGAAGCCGGAAUUGCUAGUAAUGGCAGGUCAGCAUACUGCCGUGAAUACGUUCCCGGGCCUUGUACACACCGCCCGUCACACCAUGAGAGUUGGGAAUACCCGAAGCCUGUGAGCUAACUAUUUAUAGAGGCAGCAGUCGAAGGUAGAAUCAAUGAUUGGGGUGAAGUCGUAACAAGGUACC
RNAcentral lists this ribosomal RNA (186 nucleotides) under uncultured bacterium. RNAcentral describes it as "partial 16S ribosomal RNA". It matches the Rfam family "Bacterial small subunit ribosomal RNA", at positions 1317 to 1500 of the family's 1533-position model. The record is from RNAcentral.